UGCGAAGCGAAGCAGUGAUGUGAAGCAAAUCGCACCAAAGCCGGUCCCAGUUCGGAUAAGAGGCUGAAACUCGCCUCUUUGAAGUCGGAAUCGCUAGUAAUCGCAGAUCAGCAUGUUGCGGUGAAUACGUUCCCGGGUCUCGUACACACCGCCCGUCAAACCAUGAGAGUCACCAACACCCGAAGUCCGCUUUGGCGGCCUAAGGUGGGGGAGAUGAUUGGGGUUAAGUCGUAACAAGGUAGC
Molecule: ribosomal RNA, 243 nt
Filed under: uncultured bacterium
Lineage: Bacteria
Description: partial 16S ribosomal RNA
Rfam family: Bacterial small subunit ribosomal RNA
Source: RNAcentral